Molecule: ribosomal RNA, 810 nt
Filed under: uncultured Bacillota bacterium
Lineage: Bacteria; Bacillati; Bacillota
Description: bacterial SSU rRNA
Rfam family: Bacterial small subunit ribosomal RNA
Source: RNAcentral
AAAGUUCCGCAAGGAAUUAGUAGAGUGGCAAACGGGUGAGUAACACGUGGGUGACCUGCCUUCGAGUGGGGGAUAACGUCCCGAAAGGGACGCUAAUACCGCAUAAUAUCCUGCCUUUUAAGAGGUGGAAAUCAAAGCCGGGGAUCGCAAGACCUGGCGCUUGAAGAGGGGCCCGCGUCCGAUUAGCUAGUUGGUGAGGUAAUGGCUCACCAAGGCGACGAUCGGUAGCCGGCCUAAGAGGGCGGACGGCCACACUGGGACUGAGACACGGCCCAGACUCCUACGGGAGGCAGCAGUGGGGAAUUGUUCGCAAUGGGCGCAAGCCUGACGACGCAACGCCGCGUGGAGGAUGAAGACCUUCGGGUCGUAAACUCCUUUCGAUCGAGACGAAUGGCCUUCGGGUUAAUAACCUGGGGGAAUGACGGUACCGAGAGAAGAAGCCCCGGCUAACUCCGUGCCAGCAGCCGCGGUAAUACGGGGGGGGCAAGCGUUGUUCGGAAUUACUGGGCGUAAAGGGCUCGUAGGCGGCCAACUAAGUCAGACGUGAAAUCCCUCGGCUUAACCGGGGUACUGCGUCUGAUACUGGAUGGCUUGAAUCCGGGAGAGGGAUGCGGAAUUCCAGGUGUAGCGGUGAAAUGCGUAGAUAUCUGGAGGAACACCGGUGGCGAAGGCGGCAUCCUGGACCGGCAUUGACGCUGAGGAGCGAAAGCCAGGGGAGCAAACGGGAUUAGAUACCCCGGUAGUCCUGGCCCUAAACGAUGAAUGCUUGGUGUGGCGGGUAUCGAUCCCUGCCGUGCCGAAGCUAACGCA